This 446-nucleotide ribosomal RNA is filed under the name uncultured bacterium. RNAcentral describes it as "partial 16S ribosomal RNA". It matches the Rfam family "Bacterial small subunit ribosomal RNA", at positions 338 to 795 of the family's 1533-position model. The record is from RNAcentral.
CCUACGGGUGGCUGCAGUCGAGAAUCAUUCACAAUGGGGGAAACCCUGAUGGUGCGACGCCGCGUGGGGGAAUGAAGGUCUUCGGAUUGUAAACCCCUGUCAUGUGGGAGCAAAUUAAAAAGAUAGUACCACAAGAGGAAGAGACGGCUAACUCUGUGCCAGCAGCCGCGGUAAUACAGAGGUCUCAAGCGUUGUUCGGAAUCACUGGGCGUAAAGCGUGCGUAGGCUGUUUCGUAAGUCGUGUGUGAAAGGCGCGGGCUCAACCCGCGGACGACACAUGAUACUGCGAGACUAGAGUAAGGGAGGGGGAACCGGAAUGCUCGGUGUAGCAGUGAAAUGCGUAGAUAUCGAGAGGAACACUCGUGGCGAAGGCGGGUUCCUGGACAUUAACUGACGCUGAGGCACGAAGGCCAGGGGAGCGAAAGGGAUUAGAUACCCCAGUAGUC